Alosa sapidissima (American shad) is the source of this 789-nucleotide long non-coding RNA. RefSeq lists it as uncharacterized. The transcript has 3 exons. The record is from RefSeq and is a predicted model, not a curated record. Lineage: Eukaryota; Metazoa; Chordata; Actinopteri; Clupeiformes; Clupeidae.
GGCUUGGGGAGGGCUGACUUUCACACUGUCUGAGGGUGUCACAUCUUUAACGUACAGCUCUGGUAAAACAUAAUGAAGUCAUUCUUACAGAUAGCUAUUCUCCUGAUUUCAUUUUGGGAUUCCAUCCAGAUAUCUAUCACUCAGACACCAACCCAUGCGGCAUUAAACGCACAUGACACUCUGACCAUUAAGUGCUUCCAGUUACAUCUACGAUGAUAUGGGCCUUUACUACUUCAAGCACGGACAGACUCCCAAACUCCUCAUGAAUGAGUUACAUGUGAAACCUUCCCUGGAACCCGAUACGGUGGAUCAUGGCUUAAAGGAUCACAAGAUUUUGUGUUUUCAGUGAGGAAUGUUGAUUAUGCGGAUGAAGGGACCUAUUUCUGUGGAGAGUACCUCACCUGGCCGUACCACACUGAUUCAGAGAUGUACAAGAUCCUCCUCAUAUGUAAGCUUUCCUAUACUGAGAGUGCGAGCGACUUCAUUUCUGUUGGAUGUAUAAUUUAAAUAAGGAUGUAUUAUUCAUUCAAUUCAAAUGGAUAUACGUGAUCCUUUAUGAAGAGAUAUUGUACGGGGUGCUUUGUGGGAUCGUGCAGUCAUUUGUGAAUGGACAAAACCUUUAACUGUGGAGUAUAACUCUCCAAACUUUCUUCUAGUGGAGGAGAAGACUGUGUUAAAAUGCAGGUAAAGUGUUGGAUAAGUUGGCUGUACAUAAAUACUAUGGGCGAGCAAACACUGUGAGGAGGUUUUUGUACGGCUGUUCCCACUACUUCAGUCACUGUGGUACAU